GGGGAUAAAUUAAUUAAAUAAAUAAUAAUAAAAAAAUUUUUAAUAUAUUUUAAUGGGGGUUAAAGUAUAUUUAAAAAAAAAUUUUAAAUUUUAUAGUUUAUUAGUAUUGUAAAUGAAUGUUGAAAUAAAAUGAAAAUUAAAUUAAAUUAAAAGUAAAUUUUAUUUAUUGUAUCUUGUGUAUCAGAGUUUAUUAAAUAUUAUUUUUAGAAAAAAAAAUCUCGAAUUUAAAAGAGUUAAUUAAUUAAAAAAGUUAUUGUUUUAUAAAUAUUUUAAAUAAUUAAUUUGAAAUGAAAUGUUAAUCGUUUUUAAAUAUAUCUAGUUUUUUUAGAAAUAAAUUUAAUUUAAAAUUUAUUUAAAAAAUUAUUAAUUAAUUUAAUUUUUUUUUUAAUUUAAAUUUAAUAUUUUAAGGGAUAAUCUUUAAAUUAAAAUUUUAUAAUAUUAAAUAAAAUAAAAAUUAAAAUUUUUAAAAUUUAUAUUGUUUAUAAAUUAUAUAUUUUUAUAAAAAAUUUUAUUUAUAAAAAAAUUUUUAAAUUAAAUUUAAGUUUUUUAUAAAAAAAUAAUUUUUAAUAAAAUAAAAUUAGUUAUAAUGAUAAAAUUAGUAUAUAAAUAUAUAUAUAUAUAUAUAUAUAUAUUAAUUUAAAUAAAAAUUAAAUUAAAGGAAUUCGGCAAAAUUUUAUAUUCACUUGUUUAUCAAAAACAUGUCUUUUUGGAAAUAAUUUAAAGUCUAAUCUGCCCACUGAUAAUUAUUAAAGGGCUGCAGUAUAUUGACUGUACAAAGGUAGCAUAAUCAUUACUCUUUUAAUUUGAAGACUUGUAUAGAAAGGAUUUGAUGAAAUAUGAACUGUCUCUUUUUUAUAAUUAGAAUUUAAUUUUUUAGUUAAAAAGCUAAAAUUUAUUUAAAAGACGAGAAGACCCUAUAGAGUUUUAUUAUUAAAUUAUUUAUUUAUAUAUUAUAAAUUUUUUAUAUUAAAUUAAUUUAAUAAUUUUAUUGGGGUGAUAAAAAAAUUAGAAAAACUUUUUUAAAAUGAAACAUUGAUUAAUGAAUUUUUGAUCCAUAAUUUAUGAUUAUUAGAUAAAAUUACCUUAGGGAUAACAGCGUAAUUUUUUUUUUUAGUUCAAAUAAGAAAAAAAGUUUGCGACCUCGAUGUUGGAUUAAGAUAAAAUUUAAAUGUAGAAGUUUAAAAUUUUUGAUCUGUUCGAUCAUUAAAAUCUUACAUGAUCUGAGUUCAAACCGGUGUAAGCCAGGUUGGUUUCUAUCUUUAAAAAAAAGAAAUAUUUUAGUACGAAAGGAUUAAAUAUUUAAAAUAAAUUUUAAUAUUAAGAAUAUUAUUAAUAAUAUAUAUAUAUAUAUAUAUAUAUUA
Molecule: ribosomal RNA, 1361 nt
Filed under: Darpa inopinata
Lineage: Eukaryota; Metazoa; Arthropoda; Insecta; Lepidoptera; Hesperiidae
Description: 16S ribosomal RNA
Source: RNAcentral